CGGGAUAUAGCUCAGCUUGGUAGAGCACCUGCUUUGGGAGCAGGGGGUCGUAGGUUCAACUCCUACUAUCCCGA
This 74-nucleotide transfer RNA is filed under the name Pseudo-nitzschia hainanensis. Its description in RNAcentral is "Pseudo-nitzschia sp. XChen-2010a tRNA-Pro". It matches the Rfam family "tRNA". Rfam says of the family: Transfer RNA (tRNA) molecules are approximately 80 nucleotides in length. Their secondary structure includes four short double-helical elements and three loops (D, anti-codon, and T loops). Further hydrogen bonds mediate the characteristic L-shaped molecular structure. tRNAs have two regions of fundamental functional importance: the anti-codon, which is responsible for specific mRNA codon recognition, and the 3' end, to which the tRNAs corresponding amino acid is attached (by aminoacyl-tRNA synthetases). tRNAs cope with the degeneracy of the genetic code in two manners: having more than one tRNA (with a specific anti-codon) for a particular amino acid; and 'wobble' base-pairing, i.e. permitting non-standard base-pairing at the 3rd anti-codon position. The record is from RNAcentral. Lineage: Eukaryota; Bacillariophyta; Bacillariophyceae; Bacillariales; Bacillariaceae.